Molecule: ribosomal RNA, 971 nt
Filed under: Clostridioides difficile
Lineage: Bacteria; Bacillati; Bacillota; Clostridia; Peptostreptococcales; Peptostreptococcaceae
Description: partial 23S ribosomal RNA
Rfam family: Bacterial large subunit ribosomal RNA
Source: RNAcentral
UGGUCAAGUUAUUAAGGGUGCAGGGCGGAUGCCUUGGCACUAGGAGCCGAUGAAGGACGUGAUAAGCUGCGAUAAGCUUCGGGGAGUUGCACGUAAACUUUGAUCCGAAGAUUUCCGAAUGAGGAAACUCACUUAGAGUAAUGUCUAAGUAUCAUUAAGUAAAUACAUAGCUUAAUGAGGGGAACUCAGGGAACUGAAACAUCUAAGUACCUGAAGGAAGAGAAAGAAAUUCGAUUCCGUAAGUAGCGGCGAGCGAACGCGGAUUAGCCCAAACCAAUGAAGUUUUCUUUAUUGGGGUUGUGGACAUAUCAUAACGAAGAGGUAUCGUAAUUGAAGAGGUUUGGAAAGACCCACCACAGAAGGUAAUAGUCCUGUAUGUUAAACGAGAAGACUUUAGAUAUGAUCCAGAGUACCACGGGACACGUGAAACCCUGUGGGAAGCAGGAGGGACCACUCUCCAAGGCUAAAUACUACCUAGUGACCGAUAGCGUAUAGUACCGUGAGGGAAAGGUGAAAAGAACCCCGGGAGGGGAGGGAAAUAGAACCUGAAACCCUGCACUUACAAGCUGUGGAAGCACAUUUCUUGUGUGACCGCGUACUUUUUGUAGAACGGGCCAACGAGUUACGUUAAGUAGCAAGGUUAAGCACUUAAGGUGCGGAGCCGUAGCGAAAGCGAGUUUUAACUGAGCGUUCAGUUACUUGACGUAGACCCGAAACCGGGCGACCUACCCAUGAGCAGGAUGAAGCGAAAGUAAAAUUUCGUGGAGGUCCGAACCCACGAGCGUUGAAAAGCUCGGGGAUGACUUGUGGGUAGCGGUGAAAUUCCAAUCGAGCCCGGAGAUAGCUGGUUCUCCCCGAAAUAGCUUUAGGGCUAGCCUCAAGGUGAGAGAUACGGAGGUAGAGCACUGAAUGUCCUAGGGGGUAUUGCACCUACCGAAGACUAUCAAACUCCGAAUGCCGUCAUCUUAUAC